This is a long non-coding RNA of Perca flavescens (yellow perch), 336 nucleotides long. RefSeq lists it as uncharacterized. The transcript is spliced from 4 exons. The record is from RefSeq and is a predicted model, not a curated record. Lineage: Eukaryota; Metazoa; Chordata; Actinopteri; Perciformes; Percidae.
CUGGAGGCUACGCACAUUUUGGACUCGUGCUUCUCCAGAUCCUACUAGUUCCAGUUUGCGGCACUGGUCUAACCAACAGGGGCAAGUUCAAUGUUUUGAUCACUUCAACAUGUGGACAGAAGUCAGAAGGAGCCAUGGACUGAACCACAGACCCUGCUAUCAGUGGAGGGUCUGCUGAGCCACAGCAGCAGCAACAGACCCAAUGAAUACUCUUCACCAGUGGAGAACUCCUGCUUCAAUAUUUAUAGAGGCCACUUCAUCCCAUUCCAGGCCCUAACCUCUUGAGGUCUUGUGUUACCUCCACCCUCAUGCACAAUCACCCAACCAAGUGGAAGC